This 425-nucleotide ribosomal RNA is filed under the name uncultured bacterium. RNAcentral describes it as "partial 16S ribosomal RNA". It matches the Rfam family "Bacterial small subunit ribosomal RNA", at positions 354 to 796 of the family's 1533-position model. The record is from RNAcentral.
GUGGGGAAUCUUGCGCAAUGGGCGAAAGCCUGACGCAGCCAUGCCGCGUGAAUGAUGAAGGUCUUAGGAUUGUAAAAUUCUUUCACCGGGGACGAUAAUGACGGUACCCGGAGAAGAAGCUCCGGCUAACUUCGUGCCAGCAGCCGCGGUAAUACGAAGGGGGCUAGCGUUGCUCGGAAUUACUGGGCGUAAAGGGCGCGUAGGCGGACAGCUUAGUCAGAGGUGAAAGCCCAGGGCUCAACCUUGGAAUUGCCUUUGAUACUGGCUGUCUUGAGUUUGGGAGAGGUGAGUGGAACUCCGAGUGUAGAGGUGAAAUUCGCAGAUAUUCGGAAGAACACCAGUGGCGAAGGCGACUCACUGGCCCAAUACUGACGCUGAGGCGCGAAAGCGUGGGGAGCAAACAGGAUUAGAUACCCGAGUAGUCC